AUUCGAGAUGAUGUUAGAGAGAUGACAGAGUCUAGGUUAGGGAGGGCCUGAGUCCUUGUAGACUCUGAGUAUGGUGCUGAGCAGGGAAGAGACAGGCUCUGGCUUAGGGUUUAGAAGGAACACAGGCUACUGUGAUGAGGAUUGUCUGAAGGGGAACAAAGGCCAAGAUGUUAUUUGAAGCCGUGAGACUGAGUGACAUCAUGGAGGAAGUGAAUGUAAAUAGAAAAGGGAAGAAGUCUGAAGACAGAGCCCUGAGACACUCCAUUGUAAACUGGAAGAUGAGGAAGAGCCAGCAAAGGAGACUGAGAAAGGGCAGCCAGUGAAGAUGGAGCCAGGGCUAGAGUAAGAGCCCCUCCUGGGAUGCUGUGACCCCCAAGUCUGAAGACUGCUGAUAACCCCAAUCUACAAAGACUAGCUAUAGAACUUCCUACACUGAGACAACUCCAGUGGAACUCUGAUAAUUAUCCUAAAAUAAGGAGACUUCUUCAGUAGCCCUUAAAUAUGUUCAAAUACAUGAUUACAUUUAUGUCCUUAAUAUCGCUAUUAGUUUCUGAUGUUAACGUAAAAGUUGAGGAAAAAGUGGAAAAGUUAAAGCGGUGCAGGUUAAUUCAAUGCCAGAGUAACUUCUCAGAGGGUGUAUAUUCAGUGUGAACAAUUUUCAACAGAGAGAUGUCAACGUCUGGCCACAACGGCAACCAGUAAAAUAACUACUUUUACUGUCUUAACUAUUAAUGAAGAGGAGAUUGCAUAAUAUAGAUGAAGGAGCAUAGUAUUUACAGGUGGAACACCUAGCAGGGCUUGAGUCUCAACUCUGCCCUGAGUUGAGUAAUUUGUCUUGGUCAAAUUAUCCUAAUUGACUGAGACAAGUCAUUUAAACCAAUAGCGCUUCAAUUUUCUCAUAUCUAAUGUAACAUAACAAUUCACAGCCUUUUACUUUGUAGUUACGGUGAAGAUCUAAUCACAGUGAAAUAUAUUUAUAUGUCUGUCUGCUGAUAGAA
This 998-nucleotide long non-coding RNA is filed under the name Pongo abelii (Sumatran orangutan). Its description in RNAcentral is "lincRNA". The record is from RNAcentral. Lineage: Eukaryota; Metazoa; Chordata; Mammalia; Primates; Hominidae.